RNAcentral lists this transfer RNA (86 nucleotides) under Limosilactobacillus fermentum. RNAcentral describes it as "Lactobacillus fermentum tRNA-OTHER". It matches the Rfam family "tRNA". Rfam says of the family: Transfer RNA (tRNA) molecules are approximately 80 nucleotides in length. The record is from RNAcentral. Lineage: Bacteria; Bacillati; Bacillota; Bacilli; Lactobacillales; Lactobacillaceae.
GGAGGAGUAGCGAAGUCUGGUUAAACGCGACGGUCUGUAAAACCGUUCCUCUUGGUUCGGUGGUUCGAAUCCACUCUCCUCCACUU